RNAcentral lists this ribosomal RNA (200 nucleotides) under uncultured bacterium. Its description in RNAcentral is "partial 16S ribosomal RNA". It matches the Rfam family "Bacterial small subunit ribosomal RNA", at positions 8 to 226 of the family's 1533-position model. The record is from RNAcentral.
AGAGUUUGAUCAUGGCUCAGGAUGAACGCUGGCGGCGUGCCUAAUACAUGCAAGUCGUGCGAACCAUCUCGGUGGUGAGCGGCGAACGGGUGAGUAACACGUAGAUGAUCUGCCCAUCAGCCGGGGAUAACGUUUGGAAACGAACGCUAAUACCGGAUAGGAAGAAAUUUUAAAGGAGCUUUAGGGCUUCGCUGAUGGAU